UUUCCUUCCCAAAACUCUUUCAAUACGGCAGUUUAAUUGAAGAAAAUUAAGAUUUUCAGCAGCUUAUGUAUAUGAAAAAUAGCAAUAAAAAGAAAAAGAUUAACAAGAAGAGUUCUCUUGCAGUUUCUGAUCAUCUUUUCCACAACUACAACACAUAGCAAAAUCAAGCUAUAAAACACUCUCAUAAUAAGUAAUUAAGUGCUACAAUAAUUAAACCUAUAAUUAAAUCCAUGGAUAAAUACAUAAAAAAUUUUCACUUACAAUAUCAAACCAAAAGUAAAGUGAUCAAAGCAGUGGCGAUCAUGAGACUUGACGCCGGAACAGUACUUAUCGCGGAUGACACUUCAGUCUUGUGAGGAGGCUUUCUAUAGUAGAAUGGGAAAUAAGGCAAGAUAGGGUCAGGAGGUGGAGGGCCAUAGUAGUUGUUAUUACCAGACGGUGGUGAAGGGUAAUAUGGGAAAGUCCCUGUUGGGGUUGGGUAGUUUUCGGGAGGUGGGUAUGAUCCUGUCUGAGACGCCGGAGGUGGAGGUGGAAUUGUCGUGCUUGUUCCUGUGCCGGUAGGCGGAGGAUAACAUGGAUAAGGGCAAGUGUCGUCGGUCAUGGUCAUGGUAGGAAGGUGGAGAAGUAUGGAAGUGAAGAAGAGGAUGAAGGUUAGGGUUAAGUUAGUGCCCAUCUUGUUUGAGAGAGGGAGAGAGAGGGGAAAGACAAGAGGGAGUGAAAAGGGAGUGGGUGAGUGAUGUCAAUGGAGUUUAGUUGUUGGCUAUUAGGAGUGCUU
This 775-nucleotide unclassified non-coding RNA is filed under the name Hevea brasiliensis (rubber tree). The record is from RNAcentral. Lineage: Eukaryota; Viridiplantae; Streptophyta; Magnoliopsida; Malpighiales; Euphorbiaceae.